CUCAGAAUAACGCUGGCGGCAUGCUUAACACAUGCAAGUCGUACGAGAAAGUCUUCUUCGGAAGGCGAGUAAAGUGGCGAACGGGUGAGUAACACGUAAGAAUCUACCCCUUGGUCUGGGAUAACAUCGCGAAAGUGGUGCUAAUACCGGAUAAUAUCCACGGAUCAAAGAGGGCUUUGCCCUCACCAGAGGAGGAGCUUGCGCCCCAUUAGCUAGUUGGUGAGGUAAUGGCUCACCAAUGCUCCGAUGGGUAGCCGGCCUGAGAGGGUGUACGGCCACACUGGAACUGAGACACGGUCCAGACUCCUACGGGAGGCAGCAGUGGGGAAUAUUGGUCAAUGGGCGAAAGCCUGAACCAGCAAUGCCGCGUGGGUGAUGAAGCUUCUAGGAGUGUAAAACCCUUUUAUGAGGGAAGAACGAAAUGCGGUUAAUAUCUGUAUUUCUUGACGGUACCUCAUGAAUAAGCCCCGGCUAACUCCGUGCCAGCAGCCGCGGUAACACGGAGGGGGCAAGCGUUGUUCGGAAUUACUGGGCGUAAAGGGCGUGUAGGCGGCCUAGCAGGUCAGAUGUGAAAUCCCCGGGCUCAACUCGGGAACUGCGUUUGAAACCGUUAGGCUUGAGGCUAGGAGAGGAAAGCGGAAUCCCUGGUGUAGCGGUGAAAUGCGUAGAUAUCAGGAGGAACACCGGUGGCGAAAGCGGCUUUCUGGACUAGUUCUGACGCUGAGGCGCGAAAGCGUGGGGAGCGACCGGGAUUAGAUACCCCGGUAGUCCACGCUGUAAACGAUGAGCACUAGGUGUAGCGGGUAUCGACCCCUGCUGUGCCGCAGCUAACGCAAUAAG
RNAcentral lists this ribosomal RNA (840 nucleotides) under uncultured organism. RNAcentral describes it as "bacterial SSU rRNA". It matches the Rfam family "Bacterial small subunit ribosomal RNA", at positions 23 to 864 of the family's 1533-position model. The record is from RNAcentral.